GUCGAACGAAGUCGCCCAAUUGAUUCUUAGUGCUUGCACUAAGAUGAUUUUGGAUCCGACUGAGUGGCGAACUGGUGAGUAACACGUGGGUAACCUGCCCAGAAGAAGGGGAUAACACCUGGAAACAGAUGCUAAUACCGUAUAACAACAAGAACCACAUGGUUCUUGUUUGAAAGCUGGCCUUUGUGCUAGUGCUUCUGGAUGGACCCGCGGCGUAUUAGCUAGUUGGUGAGAUAAUAGCUCACCAAGGCAAUGAUACGUAGCAGACCUGAGAGGGUAAUCUGCCACAAUGGGACUGAGACACGGCCCAUACUCCUACGGGAGGCAGCAGUAGGGAAUCUUCCACAAUGGACGAAAGUCUGAUGGAGCAACGCCGCGUGAGUGAAGAAGGGUUUCGGCUCGUAAAACUCUGUUGUUAGAGAAGAACAGCCGUGAGAGCAACUGCUCACGGUAUGACGGUAUCUAACCAGAAAGUCACGGCUAACUACGUGCCAGCAGCCGCGGUAAUACGUAGGUGGCAAACGUUGUCCGGAUUUAUUGGGCGUAAAGGGAGCGCAGGCGGUUUAUUAAGUCUGAUGUGAAAGCCUUCGGCUUAACCGGAGAAGUGCAUCGGAAACUGAUAAACUUGAGUGCAGAAAAGGAUAGUGGAACUUCAU
This 656-nucleotide ribosomal RNA is filed under the name Fructilactobacillus sanfranciscensis. RNAcentral's name for it is "bacterial SSU rRNA". It matches the Rfam family "Bacterial small subunit ribosomal RNA", at positions 61 to 672 of the family's 1533-position model. The record is from RNAcentral. Lineage: Bacteria; Bacillati; Bacillota; Bacilli; Lactobacillales; Lactobacillaceae.